RNAcentral lists this ribosomal RNA (386 nucleotides) under uncultured bacterium. RNAcentral's name for it is "bacterial SSU rRNA". It matches the Rfam family "Bacterial small subunit ribosomal RNA", at positions 28 to 412 of the family's 1533-position model. The record is from RNAcentral.
GACGAACGCUGGCGGCGUGCUUAACACAUGCAAGUCGAGCGGUAGGGCCCUUUCGGGGGUACACGAGCGGCGAGCGGGUGAGUAACACGUGGGUGACCUGCCUUUAGCUCUGGGAUAAGCCUGGGAAACUGGGUCUAAUACCGGAUAUGACCCUAUAGCGCAUGUUGUGGGGUGGAAAGCCUUGUGCGGCUAGGGAUGGGCCCGCGGCCUAUCAGCUUGUUGGUGGGGUGAUGGCCUACCAAGGCGACGACGGGUAGCCGGCCUGAGAGGGCGACCGGCCACACUGGGACUGAGACACGGCCCAGACUCCGUACGGGAGGCAGCAGGUGGGGAAUCUUGCGCAAGUGGGACGAAAGCCUGACGCAGCGACGCCGCGUGAGGAUGAC